Molecule: long non-coding RNA, 462 nt
Organism: Passer domesticus (house sparrow)
Lineage: Eukaryota; Metazoa; Chordata; Aves; Passeriformes; Passeridae
Exons: 3
Source: RefSeq, a predicted model, not a curated record
ACAGCUCCCCAGCCCCUGGUACUGCUUUGGUCAUGGUCAUUGACGUCUGGCUCCCAUGGCCUUAUCCGACCCAUCCUCGUGAAGAGGAACUACCUUUCUCUAAUGUCCUCGAAGAGACAAGACCCAAGACACAGAAGACAAAACAUCCCUGGAGGCAGCCAAACAUCUGGACCAGAUGAUGAGUGCACAGGUGAGGGUGCUGGGAUGGCUUCUCCAGGAGCGGGGAUGGAAGAUGAUUUGGAGCCCUUGGGAAUUUCUGCAGGUGUGUCUGCAGGGAGGACUUUUCAAGCCCCACGGCUGGAUGCUGCACACAAUCCCAGCUCCCAUGGCAGGGGUGAGUAGUGUGUCCCUGCUGACACCGCAGGCUGAGUCCUAUUUUUGUGGGAUCCAUCCACAUGAACUGGAAGUACUUUUAAUGUCCUCCAACAGGCAGUACCAAAGAGGAGACAGUAAGUUCCUGGA